UCGAUGGCGACCGGCGCACGGGUGAGUAACACGUAUCCAACCUGCCGAUAACUCGGGGAUAGCCUUUCGAAAGAAAGAUUAAUACCCGAUAGUAUAGUAUUUCCGCAUGGUUUCACUAUUAAAGAAUUUCGGUUAUCGAUGGGGAUGCGUUCCAUUAGAUAGUUGGCGGGGUAACGGCCCACCAAAGCGACGAUCAGUAGCCGACCUGAGAGGGUGACCGGCCACAUUGGGACUGAGACACGGCCCAAACUCCUACGGAGGCAGCAUG
Molecule: ribosomal RNA, 268 nt
Filed under: uncultured bacterium
Lineage: Bacteria
Description: partial 16S ribosomal RNA
Rfam family: Bacterial small subunit ribosomal RNA
Source: RNAcentral